AAAAAAGGUUACAUACAUUCUUAAGAAACACUAAAAGUGGUCUUAUAUAAGAACUAAUCAUAAUUUUGCAGAAUCAAUUAACGUAAUGACUAGAACCAAUUUUAUUAGCAACGGUUAUGCAAAAAGUUCUAUAAAAACCUCUUACCCAUAUGUGCUGUGUGUUAGUCUUUACGCCUGAGCUGAAGGAAUUCAAUAGUUUUCGUAAAAUGAAAUCGAUAGCAAUUGUAACCCACAAAAAAAUCAAAGAAAAAUACAUUCACACUAAGAUGUCUUAAUUGCUAGAACUUUUUUUUUAGUCAGACGCGUCAAGUAUUUUAUUGUAUGACUUUCUCGAUUAAAUCAGUAAGUUUUUUUUCGAGUAUAUUGCCUGUGUUGUGAAGGUUCCAUUGCGACAACAUUAAUUAGAUUAAAAUGCCUACAAAUCAUUUUGGAACGGCACCCGAGUGACAACCUCCGCAUUUCGGAGCGAGUAAGCUCGGACACUUGUGGCCUAAUUAAUAAGGCAGGCACCUGACCAGGUCGAAGGACGAGCCCCUAAGGACACGCACGUGGAACAAAGGCAAAAACUACGCACACGCGCACUUUUUAUGGCCCACCAUUCGAAGGGAAAUAAAACGAAGCACGAAGGACGAAAGACUUAGCCGUUUUUGCCCACAUUUUGGCCAGCGGCCAAAACACACAUCAAUGGGGUAUAAUCUCUUGGAGCCACGGGAAAAUCUGGAGGAUGGACAAGGGUUCGGUGGGAUUAAGGAGCGCAAGGAAGUUUCUGUUGAAGAAAAAGGGGUUUUUGUAAAUUAGAACAAUAUUUUUAAAUACUUUGCAAUCAAAAGUUUAUCGAAAUAGUAAGCCGAACAAAUUAUUUGGCAAAUACUA
Long non-coding RNA from Drosophila gunungcola (fruit fly), 873 nucleotides. RefSeq lists it as uncharacterized. The transcript is spliced from 3 exons. The record is from RefSeq and is a predicted model, not a curated record. Lineage: Eukaryota; Metazoa; Arthropoda; Insecta; Diptera; Drosophilidae.